RNAcentral lists this ribosomal RNA (443 nucleotides) under uncultured bacterium. Its description in RNAcentral is "partial 16S ribosomal RNA". It matches the Rfam family "Bacterial small subunit ribosomal RNA", at positions 338 to 795 of the family's 1533-position model. The record is from RNAcentral.
ACUACGGGUGGCAGCAGUGGGGAAUAUUGGGCAAUGGGCGCAAGCCUGACCCAGCAACGCCGCGUGAAGGAAGAAGGCUUUCGGGUUGUAAACUUCUUUUCUCAGGGACGAAGCAAGUGACGGUACCUGAGGAAUAAGCCACGGCUAACUACGUGCCAGCAGCCGCGGUAAUACGUAGGUGGCAAGCGUUAUCCGGAUUUACUGGGUGUAAAGGGCGUGUAGGCGGGAAAGCAAGUCAGAUGUGAAAACCAUGGGCUCAACCUGUGGCCUGCAUUUGAAACUGUUUUUCUUGAGUACUGGAGAGGCAGACGGAAUUCCUAGUGUAGCGGUGAAAUGCGUAGAUAUUAGGAGGAACACCAGUGGCGAAGGCGGUCUGCUGGACAGCAACUGACGCUGAGGCGCGAAAGCGUGGGGAGCAAACAGGAUUAGAUACCCCUGUAGUC